Molecule: non-coding RNA, 22 nt
Filed under: Arabidopsis thaliana (thale cress)
Lineage: Eukaryota; Viridiplantae; Streptophyta; Magnoliopsida; Brassicales; Brassicaceae
Source: RNAcentral
UAAAAGUUUCACUGCCCACAUA